This 491-nucleotide ribosomal RNA is filed under the name Escherichia coli. RNAcentral describes it as "bacterial SSU rRNA". It matches the Rfam family "Bacterial small subunit ribosomal RNA", at positions 127 to 612 of the family's 1533-position model. The record is from RNAcentral. Lineage: Bacteria; Pseudomonadati; Pseudomonadota; Gammaproteobacteria; Enterobacterales; Enterobacteriaceae.
UGCCUGAUGGAGGGGGAUAACUACUGGAAACGGUAGCUAAUACCGCAUAACGUCGCAAGACCAAAGAGGGGGACCUUCGGGCCUCUUGCCAUCGGAUGUGCCCAGAUGGGAUUAGCUAGUAGGUGGGGUAACGGCUCACCUAGGCGACGAUCCCUAGCUGGUCUGAGAGGAUGACCAGCCACACUGGAACUGAGACACGGUCCAGACUCCUACGGGAGGCAGCAGUGGGGAAUAUUGCACAAUGGGCGCAAGCCUGAUGCAGCCAUGCCGCGUGUAUGAAGAAGGCCUUCGGGUUGUAAAGUACUUUCAGCGGGGAGGAAGGGAGUAAAGUUAAUACCUUUGCUCAUUGACGUUACCCGCAGAAGAAGCACCGGCUAACUCCGUGCCAGCAGCCGCGGUAAUACGGAGGGUGCAAGCGUAAUCGGAAUAACUGGGCGUAAAGCGCACGCAGGCGAGUUUGUUAAGUCAGAUGUGAAAUCCCCCGGGCUCAA